AAAAAAAAAAAAACCUUAAAACUCUAUCCCCCUCUCUGGUUUUCUCUGGGCACUGCCCAGUAUCCGGCGAAUGGAGCCGCCGUGGCGCCAUCAUGUAAGGUGGUCGGAGGCCCCCAGGUUAGUUUCCGUCCUUUUUUUCUCUCUUUUUUUUAUAUUAUAUAUGUAUAGUUUUUUAAAUAAAAGGAAAAUAAAAUUUUUUGAAUAGGAGCAGUUUCGAAACUGGAAAAAUAAAGAAAAAAAUGACCUUCUCACGUUUCCCUUUGGUUUUUUUUUCUUCGAUCUGCUUUGCUGCUUGUUGUUCUUAUGCUUGAAUCUGUUUUUGUAUUUUACAAAAAAAAAAAAACCCCCCCGAAGAAAAAGAUUACAAUCGGUUCAAAAUGGCUUUAUAGCCAAUUUUUACACAUUUUUUAGUCUAUUUUGCAUGCUGUCACUUCUUGCUUUUAAUCUUUGUAGGUGCAAAUGGGCGGUGCAAGUGGAGGGCGGUGCUGCAGUGGCGGUGGCAGGGCUGUCAGGGGCUAGGUGCGGCGGCAGCAGGCUUGGGUUUCAGUUUUUUGCUGACACUGAGUUUAGUUUUGGGCCAAUCGGGCCGCCUAUGGUUUUAGAGUUUUGGUUUGGGCCAUUUGGGCAUGUUGUAAAUGGACUGGACUUUACUAAUUGUUUUGUUUUAUUUUAUUUUUGGGUUGUUUGUUUAGGGCCCGGGCAAUUUGGGCUGAUUACACGAUUUUUCUAUCAAUUCAUUAAAAUUUUAAAUUUUGCACUAUCA
RNAcentral lists this long non-coding RNA (763 nucleotides) under Gossypium barbadense (sea-island cotton). RNAcentral describes it as "long non-coding RNA (GBAR_LNC015905)". The record is from RNAcentral. Lineage: Eukaryota; Viridiplantae; Streptophyta; Magnoliopsida; Malvales; Malvaceae.